CUGGUCCCUCGUUGGCCUGGACCCCUGUUAAGGCCGGACCCCGCCCUUGGAUCUGGGCUAAAGCUCGUCCCUCUGUUUGAAGGUCUCUUUGGCGGCCCUUGGGCUUAAAGGAAAUAAAGGAGUGAAGGAUGGUGUCGGCUUCAUUCAAUGUCUGCCUGGCCAAUAUUUUGUCAAUGGAUUUUGUGAGACGUGCCCGAAAGGAACCUACAUGGACCAUCCCAACAAUGCGACAGCGUGCAAGCCCUGUGACAUAGAAUGCGGCAUAAAUGAGCAGCUCGAUGAUGACUACACUUCGUGCUCCAAGGAAAGGUGUCGGUGCUCUAAGGGGUACUGCAAAGACAGGGAUCACCCGGAGGGCUGCUAUCUCUGCAGCAGGUACUGCAGCAC
Suncus etruscus (white-toothed pygmy shrew) is the source of this 387-nucleotide long non-coding RNA. RefSeq lists it as uncharacterized. The transcript is spliced from 3 exons. The record is from RefSeq and is a predicted model, not a curated record. NCBI's taxonomy places the organism in Eukaryota, Metazoa, Chordata, Mammalia, Eulipotyphla, Soricidae.